CCUUGUUGGCGGGGUAACGGCCCACCAAGGCAACGAUCAGUAGGGGUUCUGAGAGGAAGGUCCCCCACAUUGGAACUGAGACACGGUCCAAACUCCUACGGGAGGCAGCAGUGAGGAAUAUUGGUCAAUGGACGAGAGUCUGAACCAGCCAAGUAGCGUGCAGGAAGACGGCCCUAUGGGUUGUAAACUGCUUUUAUAAGGGAAUAAAGUGAGAGUCGUGACUCUUUUUGCAUGUACCUUAUGAAUAAGGACCGGCUAAUUCCGUGCCAGCAGCCGCGGUAAUACGGAAGGUCCGGGCGUUAUCCGGAUUUAUUGGGUUUAAAGGGAGCGUAGGCCGGAGAUUAAGCGUGUUGUGAAAUGUAGACGCUCAACGUCUGCACUGCAGCGCGAACUGGUUUCCUUGAGUACGCACAAAGUGGGCGGAAUUCGUGGUGUAGCGGUGAAAUGCUUAGAUAUCACGAAGAACUCCGAUUGCGAAGGCAGCUCACUGGAGCGCAACUGACGCUGAAGCUCGAAAGUGCGGGUAUCGAACAGGAUUAGAUACCCUGGUAGUCCGCACGGUAAACGAUGGAUGCCCGCUGUUGGUCUGAAUAGGUCAGCGGCCAAGCGAAAGCAUUAAGCAUCCCACCUGGGGAGUACGCCGGCAACGGUGAAACUCAAAGGAAUUGACGGGGGCCCGCACAAGCGGAGGAACAUGUGGUUUAAUUCGAUGAUACGCGAGGAACCUUACCCGGGCUUGAAUUGCAGAGGAAGGAUUUGGAGACAAUGACGCCCUUCGGGGCCUCUGUGAAGGUGCUGCAUGGUUGUCGUCAGCUCGUGCCGUGAGGUGUCGGCUUAAGUGCCAUAACGAGCGCAACCCCUCUCCUUAGUUGCCAUCAGGUUAAGCUGGGCACUCUGGGGACACUGCCACCGUAAGGUGUGAGGAAGGUGGGGAUGACGUCAAAUCAGCACGGCCCUUACGUCCGGGGCUACACACGUGUUACAAUGGCAGGUACAGAGAGACGGUCCCUUGCAAAACGGAUCAAAUCCUUAAAGCCUGUCUCAGUUCGGACUGGGGUCUUCAACCCGACCCCACGAAGCUGGAUUUGCUAGUAAUCGCGCAUCAGCCAUGGCGCGGUGAAUACGUUCCCGGGCCUUGUACACACCGCCCGUCAACCCAAAAGCCGGGGGCGCCUAAAGUCCGUGACCGUAAGGAGCGGCCUAGGGCGAAACUGGUAAUUGGGGCUAAGUCGUAACAAGGUA
This 1242-nucleotide ribosomal RNA is filed under the name metagenome. Its description in RNAcentral is "bacterial SSU rRNA". It matches the Rfam family "Bacterial small subunit ribosomal RNA", at positions 244 to 1498 of the family's 1533-position model. The record is from RNAcentral.